Molecule: long non-coding RNA, 900 nt
Organism: Paramacrobiotus metropolitanus
Lineage: Eukaryota; Metazoa; Tardigrada; Eutardigrada; Parachela; Macrobiotidae
Exons: 2
Source: RefSeq, a predicted model, not a curated record
UAUACGAUCAAUCAAGCAAGGAGCAUCACACAGUCGUCCUAGAUGUAGCCAAAGAGAGCUUGCAUUCUAUCGGAAGGGCGGAGCAACUGGGGCUGUUUGGAAAAUUUGCUGUUACCGCUGGCGAUCAUGUCUACUUUUGGUACGAACACAACCUACAAGCUCCCUUUAAAAUGUUCGACAACACCAGUUUUUCUCUAUCCCUGCUUCCUAUGCCGCUUUGGUUUAAAACGGCGGACUGCAUUGUUUGCAAUAUGAAAAAAUUGUCGUCAUUGGAACCUCACCGAAGACGGUUGUUCGAGUGUUAGAGCUCUUUGAUGCGGCAACAAUGCAGUGGGAACCAGCGGAAUCAGUGCUACAACUUCCAGAUGACCGUAUUGGGUUUGUUGCCCUCUUCUUCAGCAACGAACUGCAUCUUUUAGGUGGUCAAAGCAGCUCUGAUCCCUCGGCUUCAGCGUUGAAAACAUGUUUCCGAUCUGACCUUAAUAAACGCAACUGAGAAAAAGUGGGUGACCUUCUUCAGGCCAGGCCCAUCAGCUAUGCGUUUGUUUAUGACGGCCAAAUAUUCAUAUUCGGUGGGCGCAUCUGUGAUACAGAUUGCUUGUCGCAAACGAUGGAAGUGUACGAUUCGAGGGAUUUUAAAUGGACGACCUUCCCACUGCCUGACUUAUGCGACUUUGAUAUGGAUCCAGACUUCAAUGUUUUUUACGCCGUUAACGCUAAAAUUAACUGCAACUAAGCACGGUAACUUUGCACCGUUAAAGGCUGGAUUUCAUUUUUUCUUUAAAAUACCACUCGGUAGUAGUUAACGGCCUUGUCCUAUGGUAAAAAAAUUCUUGACAUUAUUAGAAUCAGACAAUCCAAUAAAAAUGUUCGAUUCCAGCAAAGGAAUCGUUUUAUUUA